GCGGAUGAGGCUGAAUGUCUUCGAGCCGCGCUGACGGAAGCACAGGCUGCUUGCGAGCAUCAGCGGGACAGGAAGAUGCAGAAUGGCGUGAUGCUUGCCAUGGCCAUGGUGGCAUGCAGAGAUCAUGCCCAGACCAUGGGGAGGCUCCGAGGCGAACUCCAGGAGCUAACUGUAGCAGCUGAAGACUUGGAGAAUGCCACAGCCCCCGUGGAAGAAGGCGCAG
Molecule: long non-coding RNA, 223 nt
Filed under: Setaria italica (foxtail millet)
Lineage: Eukaryota; Viridiplantae; Streptophyta; Magnoliopsida; Poales; Poaceae
Description: long non-coding RNA (SITA_LNC002864)
Source: RNAcentral